AUUGAACGCUGGCGGAAUGCUUUACACAUGCAAGUCGAACGGCAGCACGGGGCAACCUGGUGGCGAGUGGCGAACGGGUGAGUAAUACAUCGGAACGUGCCCAAUCGUGGGGGAUAACGUAGCGAAAGUUACGCUAAUACCGCAUACGAUCUAAGGAUGAAAGCGGGGGAUCGCAAGACCUCGCGCGAAUGGAGCGGCCGAUGUCAGAUUAGGUAGUUGGUGGGGUAAAGGCUCACCAAGCCGACGAUCUGUAGCUGGUCUGAGAGGACGACCAGCCACACUGGGACUGAGACACGGCCCAGACUCCUACGGGAGGCAGCAGUGGGGAAUUUUGGACAAUGGGCGAAAGCCUGAUCCAGCCAUUCCGCGUGCAGGAUGAAGGCCUUCGGGUUGUAAACUGCUUUUGUACGGAACGAAACGGUCUCCUCUAAUACAGGAGGCUAAUGACGGUACCGUAAGAAUAAGCACCGGCUAACUACGUG
RNAcentral lists this ribosomal RNA (482 nucleotides) under uncultured bacterium. RNAcentral describes it as "bacterial SSU rRNA". It matches the Rfam family "Bacterial small subunit ribosomal RNA", at positions 30 to 507 of the family's 1533-position model. The record is from RNAcentral.